ACCCACUCGCCCACCUCGGCUGGGAGCAGUGUGUAUGUGUAGAACUGGCGGAGCUGGGCCACCAGUGGGUCGUCCGUGUACACCACAUACUCCACGAAGCUACGUGUCAGCACGAACCAGUCGGAGCCGCCGUCCACCACGAUGCCCACUGGGAUCUGCCGCUCGCCCAGGCGCCACAUGUGCGAGUCACACUCAUGGAAAAGACGGUCCAGACCCUGCUUCUUGAUGAACCUGGGGUUGUCCCGGCCAUGUGACUUGAGGAAGUUCUUGUCCCGGUUUUUGGAUAAGAAUGCCACUAG
Molecule: long non-coding RNA, 299 nt
Filed under: Heterocephalus glaber (naked mole-rat)
Lineage: Eukaryota; Metazoa; Chordata; Mammalia; Rodentia; Bathyergidae
Description: lncRNA (ENSHGLG00100041831.1)
Source: RNAcentral